This 254-nucleotide ribosomal RNA is filed under the name uncultured bacterium. Its description in RNAcentral is "partial 16S ribosomal RNA". It matches the Rfam family "Bacterial small subunit ribosomal RNA", at positions 524 to 776 of the family's 1533-position model. The record is from RNAcentral.
UACGUAGGGUGCAAGCGUUGUCCGGAAUUAUUGGGCGUAAAGAGCUCGUAGGCGGUUUGGUAAGUUGGAUGUGAAAUCUCCAGGCUCAACUUGGAGGGGUCAUUCGAUACUGCCAUGACUAGAGUUCGGUAGGGGAGUGUGGAAUUCCUGGUGGAGCGGUGAAAUGCGCAGAUAUCAGGAAGAACACCGGUGGCGAAGGCGGCUCUCUGGGCCUUACCUGACGCUGAGGAGCGAAAGCGUGGGUAGCGAACAGG